This 130-nucleotide ribosomal RNA is filed under the name Choiromyces venosus. RNAcentral's name for it is "partial 28S ribosomal RNA". It matches the Rfam family "Eukaryotic large subunit ribosomal RNA", at positions 1 to 129 of the family's 3401-position model. The record is from RNAcentral. Lineage: Eukaryota; Fungi; Ascomycota; Pezizomycetes; Pezizales; Tuberaceae.
UUGACCUCGGAUCAGGUAGGGAUACCCGCUGAACUUAAGCAUAUCAAUAAGCGGAGGAGAAGAAACCAACAGGGAUUGCCUCAGUAACGGCGAGUGAAGCGGCAAAAGCUCAAAUUUGAAAUCUGACGUC